RNAcentral lists this ribosomal RNA (530 nucleotides) under bacterium T-1-48-2A.S. Its description in RNAcentral is "bacterial SSU rRNA". It matches the Rfam family "Bacterial small subunit ribosomal RNA", at positions 369 to 889 of the family's 1533-position model. The record is from RNAcentral.
CAAUGGACGAAAGUCUGAUGGAGCAACGCCGCGUGAGUGAAGAAGGUUUUCGGAUCGUAAAACUCUGUUGUAAGGGAAGAACAAGUACGGUAGUAACUGGCCGUACCUUGACGGUACCUUAUUAGAAAGCCACGGCUAACUACGUGCCAGCAGCCGCGGUAAUACGUAGCGUGGCAAGCGUUGUCCGGAAUUAUUGGGCGUAAAGCGCGCGCAGGCGGUCCUUUAAGUCUGAUGUGAAAGCCCACGGCUCAACCGUGGAAGGUCAUUGGAAACUGGGGGACUUGAGUGCAGAAGAGGUUAGUGGAAUUCCAAGUGUAGCGGUGAAAUGCGUAGAGAUUUGGAGGAACACCAGUGGCGANNGCGACUAACUGGUCUGUAACUGACGCUGAGGCGCGAAAGCGUGGGGAGCAAACAGGAUUAGAUACCCUGGUAGUCCACGCCGUAAACGAUGAGUGCUAAGUGUUAGGGGGUNUCCGCCCCUUAGUGCUGCAGUANACGCAUUAAGCACUCCGCCUGGGGAGUACGGCCGC